RNAcentral lists this ribosomal RNA (467 nucleotides) under uncultured bacterium. RNAcentral describes it as "partial 16S ribosomal RNA". It matches the Rfam family "Bacterial small subunit ribosomal RNA", at positions 28 to 507 of the family's 1533-position model. The record is from RNAcentral.
GACGAACGCUGGCGGCGUGCUUAACACAUGAAAGUCGAACGGAAAGGCUCCAGCUUGCCGGAGUACUCGAGUGGCGAACGGGUGAGUAACACGUGGGUAAUCUGCCCUGCACUCUGGGAUAAGCCUGGGAAACUGGGUCUAAUACUGGAUAUGACCUUUCUCCUUAUGGGGUUUGGUGGAAAGUUUUUCGGUGUAGGAUGAGCCCGCGGCCUAUCAGCUUGUUGGUGGGGUGAUGGCCUACCAAGGCGAGGACGGGUAGCCGGCCUGAGAGGGUGAUCGGCCACAUUGGGACUGAGAUACGGCCCAGACUCCUACGGGAGGCAGCAGUGGGGAAUAUUGCACAAUGGGCGGAAGCCUGAUGCAGCGACGCCGCGUGAGGGAUGACGGCCUUCGGGUUGUAAACCUCUUUCAGCAGGGACGAAGCGUAAGUGACGGUACCUGCAGAAGAAGCACCGGCUAACUACGUG